GAUCAUGGCUCAGGAUGAACGCUAGCUACAGGCUUAACACAUGCAAGUCGAGGGGCAGCAUGGAAGAAGCUUGCUUCUUCUGAUGGCGACCGGCGCACGGGUGCGUAACGCGUAUCAAACCUGCCUCAUACUCGGGGAUAGCCUUGCGAAAGUAAGAUUAAUACCCGAUGUUGUUAUGUUACCGCAUGGUGAUAUAACCAAAGGUUUAUCGGUAUGAGAUGGUGAUGCG
RNAcentral lists this ribosomal RNA (229 nucleotides) under uncultured bacterium. RNAcentral's name for it is "partial 16S ribosomal RNA". It matches the Rfam family "Bacterial small subunit ribosomal RNA", at positions 15 to 235 of the family's 1533-position model. The record is from RNAcentral.